This 497-nucleotide ribosomal RNA is filed under the name uncultured bacterium. RNAcentral describes it as "partial 16S ribosomal RNA". It matches the Rfam family "Bacterial small subunit ribosomal RNA", at positions 28 to 507 of the family's 1533-position model. The record is from RNAcentral.
GAUGAACGCUGGCGGCGUGCCUAAUACAUGCAAGUCGAGCGAACAGACGAGGAGCUUGCUCCUCUGACGUUAGCGGCGGACGGGUGAGUAACACGUGGAUAACCUACCUAUAAGACUGGGAUAACUUCGGGAAACCGGAGCUAAUACCGGAUGAUAUAUUGAACCGCAUGGUUCAAUAGUGAAAGACGGUUUUGCUGUCACUUAUAGAUGGAUCCGCGCUGCAUUAGCUAGUUGGUAAGGUAACGGCUUACCAAGGCAACGAUGCAUAGCCGACCUGAGAGGGUGAUCGGCCACACUGGAACUGAGACACGGUCCAGACUCCUACGGGAGGCAGCAGUAGGGAAUCUUCCGCAAUGGGCGAAAGCCUGACGGAGCAACGCCGCGUGAGUGAUGAAGGUCUUCGGAUCGUAAAACUCUGUUAUUAGGGAAGAACAAAUGUGUAAGUAACUAUGCACGUCUUGACGGUACCUAAUCAGAAAGCCACGGCUAACUACGUG